Molecule: unclassified non-coding RNA, 283 nt
Filed under: uncultured Cortinariaceae
Lineage: Eukaryota; Fungi; Basidiomycota; Agaricomycetes; Agaricales; Cortinariaceae
Description: sequence contains ITS2
Rfam family: 5.8S ribosomal RNA (bases 1-52)
Source: RNAcentral
AACGCAUCUUGCGCUCCUUGGUAUUCCGAGGAGCAUGCCUGUUUGAGUGUCAUUUAACUUAUCAACCAUGUUUCAUAUCUGGAACGUGGCUUGGAUGUGGGGGCUCUUUUGCAGGCCCUUAUGGGUCGGCUCCCCUGAAACGCAUUAGUGGCAUCUGAGCUGCUACUGUAGGUGUGAUAAAUUAUCUAUGCCUUUGGUACGCUGCAUGAACAGAUCGCGCUGCUCAGAACCAAAACUUGACAAACUUGACCUCAAAUCAGGUAGGACUACCCGCUGAACUUAA